GCGAGUCUGAAUAGGGCGCAUAAGUAACAGGUCGUAGACCCGAAACCAGGUGAUCUACCCAUGUCCAGGAUGAAGGUAAGGUAAUACUUACUGGAGGUCCGAACCCACGCACGUUGAAAAGUGCGGGGAUGAGGUGUGGGUAGCGGAGAAAUUCCAAUCGAACUUGGAGAUAGCUGGUUCUCUCCGAAAUAGCUUUAGGGCUAGCCUCGAGGUAAAGAGUCAUGGAGGUAGAGCACUGUUUGGACUAGGGGCCCUUCUCGGGUUACCGAAUUCAGAUAAACUCCGAAUGCCAUGUACUUAUACUCGGGAGUCAGACUGCGAGUGAUAAGAUCCGUAGUCGAAAGGGAAACAGCCCAGACCACCAGUUAAGGUCCCCAAAUAUAUGUUAAGUGGAAAAGGAUGUGGGGUUGCUUAGACAACCAGGAUGUUGGCUUAGAAGCAGCCACCAUUGAAAGAGUGCGUAAUAGCUCACUGGUCGAGUGACCCCGCGCCGAAAAUGUACCGGGGCUAAACAUAUUACCGAAACUGUGGAUGAACCUCUUCGGAGGUUCGUGGUAGGAGAGCGUUCUAAGGGCGGUGAAGUCAGACCGGAAGGACUGGUGGAGCGCUUAGAAGUGAGAAUGCCGGUAUGAGUAGCGAAAGAAGGGUGAGAAUCCCUUCCACCGAAUAUCUAAGGUUUCCUGAGGAAGGCUCGUCCGCUCAGGGUUAGUCGGGACCUAAGCCGAGGCCGAUAGGCGUAGGCGAUGGACAACAGGUAGAGAUUCCUGUACCAGUGCUAAUUGUUUAACCGAUGGGGUGACACAGAAGGAUAGGGAAUCGCACGAAUGGAAAUGUGCGUCCAAGCAGUGAGUGUGAGAAGUAGGCAAAUCCGCUUCUCGCGAAGCAUGAGCUGUGAUGGGGAAGGAAAUUAAGUACGGAAGUUCCUGAUUUCACGCUGUCAAGAAAAGCCUCUAGGA
Molecule: ribosomal RNA, 956 nt
Filed under: Listeria monocytogenes
Lineage: Bacteria; Bacillati; Bacillota; Bacilli; Caryophanales; Listeriaceae
Description: partial 23S ribosomal RNA
Rfam family: Bacterial large subunit ribosomal RNA
Source: RNAcentral